RNAcentral lists this ribosomal RNA (301 nucleotides) under uncultured bacterium. RNAcentral describes it as "partial 16S ribosomal RNA". It matches the Rfam family "Bacterial small subunit ribosomal RNA", at positions 509 to 807 of the family's 1533-position model. The record is from RNAcentral.
CAGUAGCCGCGGGAAUACAGAGGGUGCAAGCGUUAAUCGGAUUUACUGGGCGUAAAGCGUGCGUAGGCGGCUUCUUAAGUCGGAUGUGAAAUCCCUGAGCUUAACUUAGGAAUUGCAUUCGAUACUGGGAAGCUAGAGUAUGGGAGAGGAUGGUAGAAUUCCAGGUGUAGCGGUGAAAUGCGUAGAGAUCUGGAGGAAUACCGAUGGCGAAGGCAGCCAUCUGGCCUAAUACUGACGCUGAGGUACGAAAGCAUGGGGAGCAAACAGGAUUAGAUACCCCGGUAGUCCCUGUCUCUUAUAC